This 73-nucleotide transfer RNA is filed under the name Cellulosimicrobium cellulans. Its description in RNAcentral is "tRNA-Pro". It matches the Rfam family "tRNA". Rfam says of the family: Transfer RNA (tRNA) molecules are approximately 80 nucleotides in length. Their secondary structure includes four short double-helical elements and three loops (D, anti-codon, and T loops). Lineage: Bacteria; Bacillati; Actinomycetota; Actinomycetes; Micrococcales; Promicromonosporaceae. The record is from RNAcentral.
CGGGAUGUGGCGCAGUAGGUAGCGCGCCGAUCUGGGGGACCGGAGAUCGUGGGUUCGAGCCCCGCCAUCCUGU